CCUACGGGUGGCAGCAGUCGAGAAUCAUUCACAAUGGGGGAAACCCUGAUGGUGCGACGCCGCGUGGGGGAAUGAAGGUCUUCGGAUUGUAAACCCCUGUCAUGUGGGAGCAAAUUAAAAAGAUAGUACCACAAGAGGAAGAGACGGCUAACUCUGUGCCAGCAGCCGCGGUAAUACAGAGGUCUCAAGCGUUGUUCGGAAGCACUGGGCGUAAAGCGUGCGUAGGCUGUUUCGUAAGUCGUGUGUGAAAGGCGAGGGCUCAACCCGCGGACGGCACAUGAUACUGCGAGACUAGAGUAAUGGAGGGGGAACCGGAAUUCUCGGUGUAGCAGUGAAAUGCGUAGAUAUCGCGAGGAACACUCGUGGCGAAGGCGGGUUCCUGGACAUUAACUGACGCUGAGGCACGAAGGCCAGGGGAGCGAAAGGGAUUAGAUACCCGAGUAGUC
RNAcentral lists this ribosomal RNA (446 nucleotides) under uncultured bacterium. RNAcentral describes it as "partial 16S ribosomal RNA". It matches the Rfam family "Bacterial small subunit ribosomal RNA", at positions 338 to 795 of the family's 1533-position model. The record is from RNAcentral.